GAUGAAGAACGUAGCGAAAUGCGAUAAGUAAUGUGAAUUGCAGAAUUCAGUGAAUCAUCGAAUCUUUGAACGCACAUUGCGCCCGCCAGUAUUCUGGCGGGCAUGCCUGUCUGAGCGUCAUUUCAACCCUCAUGCCCCUAGGGCGUGGUGUUGGGGAUCGGCCAAAGCCCGCGAGGGACGGCCGGCCCCUAAAUCUAGUGGCGGACCCGUCGUGGCCUCCUCUGCGAAGUAGUGAUAUUCCGCAUCGGAGAGUGAUGAGCCCCUGCCGUUAAACCCCCAACUUUCCGAGGUUGACCUCAGAUCAGGUAGGAAUACCCGCUGAACUUAAGCAUAUCAAUAAGCGGAGGA
Molecule: unclassified non-coding RNA, 348 nt
Filed under: soil metagenome
Description: partial contains 5.8S ribosomal RNA, internal transcribed spacer 2, and large subunit ribosomal RNA
Rfam family: 5.8S ribosomal RNA (bases 1-120)
Source: RNAcentral